UGAUAAAGUAGCAUAAUCACUCGUCAUCUAAUUAGUGACUGGAAUGAAUGGUUAAACGAAUCUCCAACUGUCUCUGAAGAAAUCUUGAUAAAUUUGAAUUGAUAGUGAAGAUGCUAUCUAAAGACUGUAAGACGAAAAGACCCUAUCGAGCUUUACUGACAGCUUAUAUUUAACACAACAAUAAAUUAAUUAUAGUAUCUACCUAAUGUAAGCCCACCAGUUUGGUUGGGGCGACCACCUCUAAAAACGUAUCAGAGGAAUUCUUAAGGUUUAUAAAAAUGUAACAAGCCUUACUGGAAACUUACCAAUUAAUCAGUUACUAACAAGUAGGACAUAAUGACCCGUUUAUUAAAUUACUUCAAUAAACGACAAUGAAAAAAGUUACC
RNAcentral lists this ribosomal RNA (386 nucleotides) under Poralia rufescens. RNAcentral's name for it is "partial large subunit ribosomal RNA". It matches the Rfam family "Bacterial large subunit ribosomal RNA", at positions 1949 to 2467 of the family's 2925-position model. Lineage: Eukaryota; Metazoa; Cnidaria; Scyphozoa; Semaeostomeae; Ulmaridae. The record is from RNAcentral.